RNAcentral lists this ribosomal RNA (1252 nucleotides) under metagenome. RNAcentral describes it as "bacterial LSU rRNA". It matches the Rfam family "Bacterial large subunit ribosomal RNA", at positions 1633 to 2874 of the family's 2925-position model. The record is from RNAcentral.
CCUGCACGACCGUACCGCAAACCGACACUGGUGCGCGAGAUGAGUAUUCUAAGGCGCUUGAGAGAACUCAGGAGAAGGAACUCGGCAAAUUGACACCGUAACUUCGGAAGGAGGUGUGCCUUUAGUAGGUGAACCAUUUACUUGGGGAGCCCAAUGAGGCUGCAAAAAAUCGGUGGCUGCAACUGUUUAUUAAAAACACAGCACUCUGCUAAGACGAAAGUCGACGUAUAGGGUGUGACGCCUGCCCGGUGCUGGAAGAUUAAAUGAUGGGGUGCAAGCUCUUGAUUGAAGUCCCAGUAAACGGCGGCCGUAACUAUAACGGUCCUAAGGUAGCGAAAUUCCUUGUCGGGUAAGUUCCGACCUGCACGAAUGGCGUAAUGAUGGCCACACUGUCUCCUCCUGAGACUCAGCGAAGUUGAAAUGUUUGUGAUGAUGCAAUCUCCCCGCGGAAAGACGGAAAGACCCCAUGAACCUUUACUGUAGCUUUGUAUUGGACUUUGAACAGAUCUGUGUAGGAUAGGUGGGAGGCUUUGAAGUGUGGUCGCUAGAUCGCAUGGAGCCAACGUUGAAAUACCACCCUGGUGUGUUUGAGGUUCUAACCUAGGUCCAUUAUCUGGAUCGGGGACAGUGCAUGGUAGGCAGUUUGACUGGGGCGGUCUCCUCCCAAAGUGUAACGGAGGAGUUCGAAGGUACGCUAGGUACGGUCGGACAUCGUGCUAAUAGUGCAAUGGCAUAAGCGUGCUUAACUGCGAGACUGACAAGUCGAGCAGAUGCGAAAGCAGGACAUAGUGAUCCGGUGGUUCUGUAUGGAAGGGCCAUCGCUCAACGGAUAAAAGGUACUCUGGGGAUAACAGGCUGAUACCGCCCAAGAGUUCAUAUCGACGGCGGUGUUUGGCACCUCGAUGUCGGCUCAUCUCAUCCUGGGGCUGUAGCCGGUCCCAAGGGUAUGGCUGUUCGCCAUUUAAAGAGGUACGUGAGCUGGGUUUAAAACGUCGUGAGACAGUUUGGUCCCUAUCUUCCGUGGGCGCUGCAGAUUUGAGGAAGCCUGCUCCUAGUACGAGAGGACCGGAGUGGACGAACCUCUGGUGUAUCGGUUGUCACGCCAGUGGCAUUGCCGAGUAGCUAAGUUCGGAAGAGAUAACCGCUGAAAGCAUCUAAGCGGGAAACUCGUUUCAAGAUUAGAUCUGCCGGGGCCUUGAGCCCCCUAAAGAGUCGUUCAAGACCAGGACGUUGAUAGGUCAGGUGUGGAAGC